This 243-nucleotide ribosomal RNA is filed under the name Triticum aestivum (bread wheat). Its description in RNAcentral is "partial small subunit ribosomal RNA". The record is from RNAcentral. Lineage: Eukaryota; Viridiplantae; Streptophyta; Magnoliopsida; Poales; Poaceae.
AUGAAGCUCCUAUGUUGGAACAUUAGGGGCUUCGGCCUCUCUGGCCGGCGGCGCCAGCUCAUCGAAUAUUUGCAAUAAGAGGAGAUAGACAAAUUGGGUCUUCAGGAGAUGAUUCGCCAGGACUUUAGUAUGCAUGAGCUCCAAGGGCUCUCUCGCCACCAGUUUGCCUGGCAGUGGUUGCCUGCUACGGGUCAAUCUGGGGGCAUUUUGCUCGGAGUCAGGGAGGAUGCUUUAUCGGUUUAA